GCUUACGGCCAUACCACUCUGUCUGUGCCCGCUCUCGUCUGAUCUCGGAAGCUAAGCAGAGUUGGGCUUGGUUAGUACAUGGAUGGUAGACUACCAGGUGCUGUAAGCU
This 109-nucleotide ribosomal RNA is filed under the name Sinocyclocheilus anshuiensis. The record is from RNAcentral. Lineage: Eukaryota; Metazoa; Chordata; Actinopteri; Cypriniformes; Cyprinidae.